GUGAAUCAUCGAAUUUUUGAACGCAAAUUGCGCUUCCUGGCAUCCCGGGAAGUAUGCCUGUUUGAGGGUCAGUAUUAACAAAAAAUCGGCUUGGUUGCAAAUUGUGACGUUACAGGUGUUUGGGCUAUCUUAAGUUUUUUGGUUAAGGGGUUUAAAAUUGACCUUUUUUGCGCUUUUUUAGACUCACAUAAAUUUUUUUUUAUUCGUCUAUUUGUAAUGCC
This 221-nucleotide unclassified non-coding RNA is filed under the name Glomeraceae sp. RNAcentral's name for it is "partial contains 5.8S ribosomal RNA and internal transcribed spacer 2". The stretch from base 1 to 71 matches the Rfam family "5.8S ribosomal RNA", at positions 84 to 154 of the family's 154-position model. Lineage: Eukaryota; Fungi; Glomeromycota; Glomeromycetes; Glomerales; Glomeraceae. The record is from RNAcentral.